ACGAUGUUCCGCUGCAGUGAAUUGUUCUGUAUGAGCAUCUG
Molecule: regulatory RNA element, 41 nt
Rfam family: Ribosomal protein L19 leader
About the family: This family is a putative r-protein leader autoregulatory structure found in B. subtilis and other low-GC Gram-positive bacteria. It is located in the 5' untranslated regions of mRNAs encoding ribosomal protein L19 (rplS).
Source: Rfam